Small nucleolar RNA from Trifolium pratense (red clover), 87 nucleotides. Lineage: Eukaryota; Viridiplantae; Streptophyta; Magnoliopsida; Fabales; Fabaceae. The record is from RefSeq and is a predicted model, not a curated record.
UGCAAUCUGUGAUGCAAUUAUAAUAUCCUUACUAUUAUGAUUAUCCGUGAUUAUCAAAAUUAUCACCAUCUUUCGACUGAGAUUGCA